Amphiprion ocellaris (clown anemonefish) is the source of this 2811-nucleotide long non-coding RNA. RefSeq lists it as uncharacterized. Lineage: Eukaryota; Metazoa; Chordata; Actinopteri; Pomacentridae. The transcript has 4 exons. The record is from RefSeq and is a predicted model, not a curated record.
UGGUAUCUUUAUUUCACGUAAAUCCAGGUCUGAUCGUGACGAAUCUGCGGACGAAACAUCUGGAGACGGAAACUAUCGCCAGUUAACCUGAUCACCAGUUAAAUUGGAACACCGGGUCACUAUGCUGCAUACAGUUACACACUGCCUCGUACGAUUGAGACAAGGAAACUUGGAAUGACUUUUCAUAGGUUUCCCAGAGACUAUGGGUUGAGGAGGAAUUGGAAGUUUGUCGGCUUAGACCUGGUGUUAUUCCAUCAGUGUUAAACUUCCCGGCUCAUCUUGGAAGAGUACGUGCCAGAAAGACCACGACCAAGCAGCCUUGAGAUCUUAGGCAGCGUCUCCCUGAGUUCAAAGGUCCCUCUCUAUCUCCCCACACAUCCAUCAACCACUGGAACACAUCUCCAAAGUUCUGCUGGACCAGCUCAGCUUCCCCUCAGAAGAAGUGGCGCCACCUGCCAGAUGAAGGAGCCUUUUGAGAGGCAGCUGGCAUCGUGAUUGGACUGUACUUUGGUCUGUUCCAAUCCAGCUUCAGCUCCAGAGACGGCAGGCGGGACGAGUCAACGGAGGCCGGGUGGAUGAAGACAUGCAGCUGAGUACAAUCCAGAAAACAACAGAGGAGAAGUGCAGCGACCCAGAGCCAGAACAACCAGAGUAGCAUCACCAAAGAACUACAGACUCUUCACAACCUGCUCAAACUCUUGGUACAGGACCUCACCACACGGGUCAAGAAGGUUUCUGUCUCAUUUCUACUCUGAAGAUCACCGUCUCCUGCUCAAACUGCUGACAAAUGUUUCUGCUGCUCUAAAGUCUGGUCUCCAGAACUUCCUAAAAACUCUCAAAGGCUCUUCUGCUGCAGGUUGCUAUGUAGAACUGUUCCAGAAAACCUCACUAAACCACAUGGAGGGGCCUCAAGAUAGUCGUCCAGAUGAAACCAUACAAAAACCAAACUAGCACAACCCAAACGCUAAAGUCUCCUGCAGCCUACCAGAGAACCUCUGAGAACAGAGAAUCAGGACAGGAACUCUUACCUUCUGGACAACCAACGUUGAUUCACAAACAAGAAUACAGAAUGUGUCUGACCAAAAACCUCUGAAGACUCACUACAGCCAAGAUAAAGACACAACUCAGCUGUACCAAAUCCACUAAUCACUGCACACAUUAGCACCAUGUGCUAACUGUGGCUAAAGAACCUCAUUUACCAAGACAACUAUCCAGUACAAAGCCCUAAAACACACCAAGAAACACAUUAAGGACGAUUUUACUGCUGGAAGCUGCAAGCCAACGCCUAAAGAACAAACUAUAGCAAUGGAGCCAAACCCGGUCGUGUGGUGGAGAGAAGCAGAGGAAAUGUUUGUCUGCAGCUACAUAAAGCAGGAAGACACUGAGCUGCUCAGGUGUUCCUGAUAACACCAAGCAGCCACCUGGACAGCCAAUAGGAACACAGCUUACUGGAAGUCCAAAGGCCUGGCUUAGUGAAGGAAAUUUAAUUUAAAGUUGAAGCAGAAAGUUAACAAAGAAAGUUGAAAACCACCUUCUGAUACCUGAAAUCUCCGAGUUUUCACACAAAGAACACCUGAACAUGUCAAACUGGUUCCAUAGUAGAACCCUCAUUGUAAAAACGUCAUAGUAUGGUGUGUUGCUCAAAAAACAUUAGGACCCGGACCCAAAUAUUGUCAGCGGUUAAUAUGCUCUGAAAUGACGGUUAGGACGUGGAUGACUGAAUGAGUUUUUAUUGUUUUCUGAGUGACUAGUUUAAACAACGUGGUCUCAGAUUGUUCCGAUGUAUUUUAGCAAAUAAAGCUAAUGUUCUGCUGCAUGUUGUAAAGUUGGCAAGAUAUUCACAGAUUCGGACUUCCGGCCUCAAUAACUCAUGGGAUAUACGUUGUAAAAACAUAAACAAUGCCUCUUUCAAAUCGUUGUAAGCUAGACAAUGUGCUACAAGGCCAGUUUUAUCAAAACUCGCUGUCUUUCAAGCUGCAGAAAUAACAUUGAUGUCUAUGAGCAGCCGGCUGUGCGACGAGUGAACAGGGACCGUCUGCAAAUAGCAAAACCGCUGCAACAGCGAAGAGAGGCACUACACAAAUAUUCAAUAACUUAACUUUUAUACACUGUAGCGUCACCAAAUUUACUGGAGCCAUCAAUUGUGUCUUGCUGGUCAUACUACAAGUCUUGGUUUGAUACUAAAUACAAAAUCUGAAUGUUAAGGAAUUUUCAUUAUUUAAUUAUUAUUUUAUUAGUCAUAAAAUUCAAUAACUUCACUCUUAUAUACUGUAGAGUCACCAAAAUCAUUGGAGCCAUCAAUUGUGUCUUUCUGGUCAUACUACAAUUCUUGGUUUGAUGCUAAAUACAAAAUCUGAAUUUUAAGGAAUUUUUAUUAUUGUCUUAUUUUAUUAGUCAUAAAAUUCAAUAACUUCACUCUUAUAUACUGUAGUGUCACCAAAUUUACUGCAGCCAUCAAUUGUAUCCUGCUGAUCAUACUACAACUCUUGGUUUGAUGCUAAAUACAAAAUCUGAAUUUUAAGGAAUUUUUAUUGGUAAUAAAAUUCAAUAACUUCACUCUUAUACAUUGUAUUGUCACCAAAAUCAGUGGAGCCAUCAAAUGACUCCUACUGCUCAUACUACAACUCUUGGUUUGAUAUAAAAACAUUCUUUUAUAAUUUUAAUGAAUUUUAUUAUUUUAUUAGUAAUUCAAUUCAAUAACUUCACUCUUAUGUACUGUAGUGUCAUCAAAUUCACUGGAGCCAUCAGUUGGCUCCUGAUUGUCAUACUACAAGUCUUGGUUUGGUAAUAAAUCAAAAGUCUGAAUUUUAA